GAAAUGCGAUAAGUAAUGUGAAUUGCAGAAUUCAGUGAAUCAUCGAAUCUUUGAACGCACCUUGCGCUCCUUGGUAUUCCUUGGAGCAUGCCUGUUUGAGUAUCAUGAAAUCUUCAAAGUAAAUCUUUUGUUAACUCAAUUGGUUUCUACUUUGGUAUUGGAGGUCUUUGCAGCUUCACACCUGCUCCUCUUUGUUCAUUAGCUGGAUCUCAGUGUUAUGCUUGGUUCCACUCGGCGUGAUAAGUUAUCUAUCGCUGAGGACACUGUAAAAGUUGGCCAAGGUAAAUGCAGAUAAACCGCUUCUAAUAGUCCAUUGACUUGGACAAUACUUUUAUGAUCUGAUCUCAAAUCAGGUAGGACUACCCGCUGAACUUAAGC
This 378-nucleotide unclassified non-coding RNA is filed under the name plant metagenome. RNAcentral's name for it is "partial contains 5.8S ribosomal RNA, internal transcribed spacer 2, and large subunit ribosomal RNA". The stretch from base 1 to 105 matches the Rfam family "5.8S ribosomal RNA", at positions 50 to 154 of the family's 154-position model. The record is from RNAcentral.